GACGAACGCUGGCGGCGUGCCUAAUACAUGCAAGUCGAGCGGACCGAACAGGAGCUUGCUCUUGUUCGGUUAGCGGCGGACGGGUGAGUAACACGUGGGUAACCUGCCCGUAAGACCGGGAUAACUCCGGGAAACCGGAGCUAAUACCGGAUAACACCGAAGACCGCAUGGUCUUUGGUUGAAAGGCGGCUUCGGCUGCCACUUACGGAUGGGCCCGCGGCGCAUUAGCUAGUUGGUGAGGUAACGGCUCACCAAGGCGACGAUGCGUAGCCGGCCUGAGAGGGUGACCGGCCACACUGGGACUGAGACACGGCCCAGACUCCUACGGGAGGCAGCAGUAGGGAAUCUUCCGCAAUAGACGAAAGUCUGACGGAGCGACGCCGCGUGAGCGAAGAAGGUCUUCGGAUCGUAAAGCUCUGUUGUUAGGGAAGAAGAAGCGUCGUUCGAACAGGGCGGCGCGGUGACGGUACCUAACGAGAAAGCCCCGGCUAACUACGUG
This 499-nucleotide ribosomal RNA is filed under the name uncultured bacterium. RNAcentral describes it as "partial 16S ribosomal RNA". It matches the Rfam family "Bacterial small subunit ribosomal RNA", at positions 28 to 507 of the family's 1533-position model. The record is from RNAcentral.